RNAcentral lists this non-coding RNA (45 nucleotides) under Schistosoma margrebowiei. Lineage: Eukaryota; Metazoa; Platyhelminthes; Trematoda; Strigeidida; Schistosomatidae. The record is from RNAcentral.
AUCCAGCUGACUAGUCCCGAAUAGGAUGAAACGUGCGUCCUGAAU